UCCGAAGGGGGCGAGCGUUGUUCGGAAUCACUGGGCGUAACGCGUGCGUAGGCGGUUAUGCAAGUUAGGCGUGAAAGCCCCAGGCUCAACUUGGGAAUUGCUCUUAAAACUACAUGACUCGAAUUCGGGAGAGGAUAGCGGAAUUCUCAGUGUAGCAGUGAAAUGCGUAGAUAUUGAGAGGAACACCAGUGGCGUAAGCGGCUAUCUGGACCGACAUUGACGCUGAGGCACGAAAGCGUGGGGAUCAAACAGG
Molecule: ribosomal RNA, 253 nt
Filed under: uncultured bacterium
Lineage: Bacteria
Description: partial 16S ribosomal RNA
Rfam family: Bacterial small subunit ribosomal RNA
Source: RNAcentral